AUUGAACGCUGGCGGCAGGCCUAACACAUGCAAGUCGAGCGGUAACACAGGGAGCUUGCUCCUGGGUGACGAGCGGCGGACGGGUGAGUAAUGUCUGGGAAACUGCCUGAUGGAGGGGGAUAACUACUGGAAACGGUAGCUAAUACCGCAUAACGUCGCAAGACCAAAGAGGGGGACCUUCGGGCCUCUUGCCAUCAGAUGUGCCCAGAUGGGAUUAGCUAGUGGGUGGGGUAACGGCUCACCUAGGCGACGAUCCCUAGCUGGUCUGAGAGGAUGACCAGCCACACUGGAACUGAGACACGGUCCAGACUCCUACGGGAGGCAGCAGUGGGGAAUAUUGCACAAUGGGCGCAAGCCUGAUGCAGCCAUGCCGCGUGUAUGAAGAAGGCCUUCGGGUUGUAAAGUACUUUCAGCGGGGAGGAAGGCGUUGUGGUUAAUAACCACAGCGAUUGACGUUACCCGCAGAAGAAGCACCGGCUAACUCCGUGCCAGCAGCCGCGGUAA
Molecule: ribosomal RNA, 504 nt
Filed under: uncultured bacterium
Lineage: Bacteria
Description: partial 16S ribosomal RNA
Rfam family: Bacterial small subunit ribosomal RNA
Source: RNAcentral